Molecule: ribosomal RNA, 1540 nt
Filed under: Klebsiella pneumoniae
Lineage: Bacteria; Pseudomonadati; Pseudomonadota; Gammaproteobacteria; Enterobacterales; Enterobacteriaceae
Also listed under: 1 other name
Description: bacterial SSU rRNA
Rfam family: Bacterial small subunit ribosomal RNA
Source: RNAcentral
AAAUUGAAGAGUUUGAUCAUGGCUCAGAUUGAACGCUGGCGGCAGGCCUAACACAUGCAAGUCGAGCGGUAGCACAGAGAGCUUGCUCUCGGGUGACGAGCGGCGGACGGGUGAGUAAUGUCUGGGAAACUGCCUGAUGGAGGGGGAUAACUACUGGAAACGGUAGCUAAUACCGCAUAAUGUCGCAAGACCAAAGUGGGGGACCUUCGGGCCUCAUGCCAUCAGAUGUGCCCAGAUGGGAUUAGCUAGUAGGUGGGGUAACGGCUCACCUAGGCGACGAUCCCUAGCUGGUCUGAGAGGAUGACCAGCCACACUGGAACUGAGACACGGUCCAGACUCCUACGGGAGGCAGCAGUGGGGAAUAUUGCACAAUGGGCGCAAGCCUGAUGCAGCCAUGCCGCGUGUGUGAAGAAGGCCUUCGGGUUGUAAAGCACUUUCAGCGGGGAGGAAGGCGGUAAGGUUAAUAACCUUGGCGAUUGACGUUACCCGCAGAAGAAGCACCGGCUAACUCCGUGCCAGCAGCCGCGGUAAUACGGAGGGUGCAAGCGUUAAUCGGAAUUACUGGGCGUAAAGCGCACGCAGGCGGUCUGUCAAGUCGGAUGUGAAAUCCCCGGGCUCAACCUGGGAACUGCAUUCGAAACUGGCAGGCUAGAGUCUUGUAGAGGGGGGUAGAAUUCCAGGUGUAGCGGUGAAAUGCGUAGAGAUCUGGAGGAAUACCGGUGGCGAAGGCGGCCCCCUGGACAAAGACUGACGCUCAGGUGCGAAAGCGUGGGGAGCAAACAGGAUUAGAUACCCUGGUAGUCCACGCCGUAAACGAUGUCGAUUUGGAGGUUGUGCCCUUGAGGCGUGGCUUCCGGAGCUAACGCGUUAAAUCGACCGCCUGGGGAGUACGGCCGCAAGGUUAAAACUCAAAUGAAUUGACGGGGGCCCGCACAAGCGGUGGAGCAUGUGGUUUAAUUCGAUGCAACGCGAAGAACCUUACCUGGUCUUGACAUCCACAGAACUUUCCAGAGAUGGAUUGGUGCCUUCGGGAACUGUGAGACAGGUGCUGCAUGGCUGUCGUCAGCUCGUGUUGUGAAAUGUUGGGUUAAGUCCCGCAACGAGCGCAACCCUUAUCCUUUGUUGCCAGCGGUUCGGCCGGGAACUCAAAGGAGACUGCCAGUGAUAAACUGGAGGAAGGUGGGGAUGACGUCAAGUCAUCAUGGCCCUUACGACCAGGGCUACACACGUGCUACAAUGGCAUAUACAAAGAGAAGCGACCUCGCGAGAGCAAGCGGACCUCAUAAAGUAUGUCGUAGUCCGGAUUGGAGUCUGCAACUCGACUCCAUGAAGUCGGAAUCGCUAGUAAUCGUAGAUCAGAAUGCUACGGUGAAUACGUUCCCGGGCCUUGUACACACCGCCCGUCACACCAUGGGAGUGGGUUGCAAAAGAAGUAGGUAGCUUAACCUUCGGGAGGGCGCUUACCACUUUGUGAUUCAUGACUGGGGUGAAGUCGUAACAAGGUAACCGUAGGGGAACCUGCGGUUGGAUCACCUCCUUA